AACGAACGCUGGCGGCAGGCCUAAAACAUGCAAGUCAAACGCCCCGCAAGGGGAGUGGCGCACGGGUGAGUAGCGCGUGGGAACGUGCCCCUUAGUACGGGACAACGUCGGGAAACUGACGCUAAUACCGUGUAAUAUCUCCGGAUCAAAGAUUUAUCGCUGAGGGAGCGGCCCGCGUCUGAUUAGCUAGUUGGUGAGGUAAAGGCUCACCAAGGCUACGAUCAGUAGCAGGUCUGAGAGGAUGAUCUGCCACACUGGGACUGAGACACGGCCCAGACUCCUACGGGAGGCAGCAGUUAGGAAUAUUGGACAAUGGGGGAAACCCUGAUCCAGCCAUGCCGCGUGUGUGAUGAAGGCCCUAGGGUUGUAAAGCACUUUCGUUGGGGAUGAUAAUGACCGUACCCAAAGAAGAAGCCACGGCUAAAUUCGUGCCAGCCGCCGCCGUAA
This 447-nucleotide ribosomal RNA is filed under the name uncultured bacterium. RNAcentral describes it as "partial 16S ribosomal RNA". It matches the Rfam family "Bacterial small subunit ribosomal RNA", at positions 29 to 523 of the family's 1533-position model. The record is from RNAcentral.